RNAcentral lists this transfer RNA (63 nucleotides) under Cucujoidea sp. 27 KM-2017. Its description in RNAcentral is "tRNA-Asp". The record is from RNAcentral. Lineage: Eukaryota; Metazoa; Arthropoda; Insecta; Coleoptera.
AAAAAUUUAGUUAAAAUUAUAACAUUAGUUUGUCAAACUAAAAUUAUUAAUAAAUAAUUUUUA